Molecule: ribosomal RNA, 765 nt
Filed under: Bacillus sp. RP(2010)
Lineage: Bacteria; Bacillati; Bacillota; Bacilli; Caryophanales; Bacillaceae
Description: bacterial SSU rRNA
Rfam family: Bacterial small subunit ribosomal RNA
Source: RNAcentral
GCUCAGGAUGAACGCUGCGGCGUGCCUAAUACAUGCAAGUCGAGCGAAUGGAUUAAGAGCUUGCUCUUAUGAAGUUAGCGCGGACGGGUGAGUAACACGUGGGUAACCUGCCCAUAAGACUGGGAUAACUCCGGGAAACCGGGGCUAAUACCGGAUAACAUUUUGAACCGCAUGGUUCGAAAUUGAAAGCGGCUUCGGCUGUCACUUAUGGAUGGACCCGCGUCGCAUUAGCUAGUUGGUGAGGUAACGGCUCACCAAGGCAACGAUGCGUAGCCGACCUGAGAGGGUGAUCGGCCACACUGGGACUGAGACACGGCCCAGACUCCUACGGGAGGCAGCAGUAGGGAAUCUUCCGCAAUGGACGAAAGUCUGACGGAGCAACGCCGCGUGAGUGAUGAAGGCUUUCGGGUCGUAAAACUCUGUUGUUAGGGAAGAACAAGUGCUAGUUGAAUAAGCUGGCACCUUGACGGUACCUAACCAGAAAGCCACGGCUAACUACGUGCCAGCAGCCGCGGUAAUACGUAGGUGGCAAGCGUUAUCCGGAAUUAUUGGGCGUAAAGCGCGCGCAGGUGGUUUCUUAAGUCUGAUGUGAAAGCCCACGGCUCAACCGUGGAGGGUCAUUGGAAACUGGGAGACUUGAGUGCAGAAGAGGAAAGUGGAAUUCCAUGUGUAGCGGUGAAAUGCGUAGAGAUAUGGAGGAACACCAGUGGCGAAGGCGACUUUCUGGUCUGUAACUGACACUGAGGCGCGAAAGCGUGGGGAGCA